This 73-nucleotide transfer RNA is filed under the name Haemophilus influenzae. RNAcentral describes it as "partial tRNA-Gly". It matches the Rfam family "tRNA". From Rfam's summary of the family: Transfer RNA (tRNA) molecules are approximately 80 nucleotides in length. Their secondary structure includes four short double-helical elements and three loops (D, anti-codon, and T loops). The record is from RNAcentral. Lineage: Bacteria; Pseudomonadati; Pseudomonadota; Gammaproteobacteria; Pasteurellales; Pasteurellaceae.
UGCGGGAAUAGCUCAGUUGGUAGAGCACAACCUUGCCAAGGUUGGGGUCGCGAGUUCGAGCCUCGUUUCCCGC